RNAcentral lists this ribosomal RNA (424 nucleotides) under uncultured bacterium. Its description in RNAcentral is "bacterial SSU rRNA". It matches the Rfam family "Bacterial small subunit ribosomal RNA", at positions 355 to 796 of the family's 1533-position model. The record is from RNAcentral.
UGGGGAAUAUUGGACAAUGGGCGAAAGCCUGAUCCAGCCAUGCCGCGUGAGUGAUGAAGGCCUUAGGGUUGUAAAGCUCUUUUGGCGGGGAAGAUAAUGACGGUACCCGCAGAAUAAGCACCGGCUAACUUCGUGCCAGCAGCCGCGGUAAUACGAAGGGUGCUAGCGUUGUUCGGAAUUACUGGGCGUAAAGCGCGCGUAGGCGGCCGUACUCGUCGGGGGUGAAAUCCCAGGGCUUAACCCUGGAACUGCCUUCGAAACUGUGCGGCUGGAGUGUGUGAGGGGAUGGCGGAAUUCCUAAUGUAGAGGUGAAAUUCGUAGAUAUUAGGAGGAACACCGGUGGCGAAGGCGGCCAUCUGGCACACAACUGACGCUGAGGCGCGAAAGCGUGGGGAUCAAACAGGAUUAGAUACCCCUGUAGUCC